This 253-nucleotide ribosomal RNA is filed under the name uncultured bacterium. RNAcentral describes it as "partial 16S ribosomal RNA". It matches the Rfam family "Bacterial small subunit ribosomal RNA", at positions 524 to 776 of the family's 1533-position model. The record is from RNAcentral.
UACGUAGGGCGCAAGCGUUGUCCGGAAUUAUUGGGCGUAAAGAGCUCGUAGGCGGUCUGUUGCGUCGGCUGUGAAAACCCGAGGCUCAACCUCGGGCCUGCAGCCGAUACGGGCAGACUAGAGUUCGGCAGGGGAGACUGGAAUUCCUGGUGUAGCGGUGAAAUGCGCAGAUAUUAGGAAGAACACCAGUGGCGAAGGCGGCUCACUGGUCCGGUACUGACGCUGAUGUGCGAAAGCGUGGGGAGCAAACAGG